UUGUAAGAGUGAGAGGGGUAAAACUGAGUAUUUUAGCCCUAUUUUUUUUGAAAUAUAAGUAGUUUUGAUAAUUUUACUAAAUUUGAAGAGUAUUUUUAUAUUAAUAAUUUUUUGGAGGAUAUAUUCAUAUAAUUAGGGGUUGGUGAGAGGGUACCUUUGAAAUUGAUCUUUUAUUAUAAGGUAAACUUCAAAUACCAUCUCUGUAGUUUCGCACUUUUUCACUUUAGUAUCCUAUGGUUUAAAGCGUUUCAAGUUAGUGUCAUGUGGUUUCAUUUUUAUCUUUUUGUCGGCUUUUUCGUUAAUAUUUCGUUAAAUUAUAUACAAAAAACUUCAAAUACCCCACCUAAGUUUAUCUAAUAUUCACUUUGGUACUCUUUAGUUUUAACUUUGUCACUGAUUUAAUAAAAAAAUUUAGUGAAAUCGAUAAUAAAAAAAUAAAAAUAAAACCACAAAGUACUAAAUUAAUACACUUUAAACUAUAAUGUACUAAUAAAGUAAAAAAAUGUAAAAUCAUAUUGGUGAUAUUUGAAGUUUUUUUUUUAUUAUAAGUAACUUUUGAUGUU
Molecule: long non-coding RNA, 563 nt
Filed under: Ananas comosus (pineapple)
Lineage: Eukaryota; Viridiplantae; Streptophyta; Magnoliopsida; Poales; Bromeliaceae
Description: long non-coding RNA (ACOM_LNC034339)
Source: RNAcentral